AAAUAUAAUAGAAAAGAUGUUAAUUAUUUUAAUAUAUUUAAAUUUUGAUUUUACUAAUAAAUUUGAAAAACCAUGUAUAAAAACAUUUUUAAAAAUAAUUAAUUUAAAAGAUUUAAUGACUUAAAACAUUAAUGAGAAAAAAUAUACAUUUAUUAUCAUAAUAAAUGUAAUUAUAAAACUUUUUAAAAAUUUUUAUUAUUUUAAAUCAAUAUUAAAUAUAUUUA
Molecule: transfer RNA, 224 nt
Filed under: Pneumocystis jirovecii
Lineage: Eukaryota; Fungi; Ascomycota; Pneumocystomycetes; Pneumocystales; Pneumocystaceae
Description: tRNA-Pseudo(TAA)
Source: RNAcentral